GAUGAACGCUGGCGGCGUGCUUAACACAUGCAAGUCGAACGAAGCACCUUAUUCUGAUUUCUUCGGAAUGAAAAAUUUGGUGACUGAGUGGCGGACGGGUGAGUAACGCGUGGGUAACCUGCCUCAUACAGGGGGAUAACAGUUAGAAAUGACUGCUAAUACCGCAUAAGACCACAGCACCGCAUGGUGCAGGGGUAAAAACUCCGGUGGUAUGAGAUGGACCCGCGUCUGAUUAGGUAGUUGGCAGGGUAACGGCCUACCAAAGCGACGAUCCAUAGCCGGCCUGAGAGGGUGAACGGCCACAUUGGGACUGAGACACGGCCCAG
Molecule: ribosomal RNA, 326 nt
Filed under: uncultured bacterium
Lineage: Bacteria
Description: bacterial SSU rRNA
Rfam family: Bacterial small subunit ribosomal RNA
Source: RNAcentral